GAUGAAGAACGUAGUGAAAUGCGAUACGUAAUGUGAAUUGCAGAAUUCAGUGAAUCAUCGAAUCUUUGAACGCACAUUGCGCCCGCCAGUAUUCUGGCGGGCAUGCCUGUCUGAGCGUCAUUUCAACCCUCAGCCCCCGCUCGCGGGGCGCUGGCGUUGGGGAUCGGCCGUCCUCGCGGCGGCCGGCCCCGAAACACAGUGGCGGUCUCUCGCGGACUCCCCUGCGUAGUAGCACUACCUCGCAGAAGGGACGAGCAGGCUGACCACGCCGUAAAACCCCCCACUUCUCCAGGUUGACCUCAGAUCAGGUAGGAAUACCCGCUGAACUUAAGCAUAUCAAUAAGCGGAGGA
RNAcentral lists this unclassified non-coding RNA (351 nucleotides) under soil metagenome. RNAcentral's name for it is "partial contains 5.8S ribosomal RNA, internal transcribed spacer 2, and large subunit ribosomal RNA". The stretch from base 1 to 120 matches the Rfam family "5.8S ribosomal RNA", at positions 35 to 154 of the family's 154-position model. The record is from RNAcentral.